CUGAUCGGGUGUAGGCAAUCAGCAAUUAAGCCCAGGCAAAAAUUGAAUAGCCUUGCACUGCCACUGCAGGCAGAGUAGAGAUUGUGGAGGGAUAAACUCUACCAAUUUGAAACGAAAUCUUUCUAACAUUCUUCAUAGUGAGUCUUGGAGUUGGGACCAAAUCCUAAAUAAACCAGUGGAGCAGCUUUUACCUGUGAGCCAUUUACAGCAAGCAGUUAUAUAAAUUGUGUGAUCAGAGGGUUAAGUCUCCCUGCAGAUGCAGAAUGCCCUACAGUUUGUUGUGAGAACACUACGCACCAACUGCUGGCUAUGAAUGCAUUCUCCAAGCUGACUCUGAAAUGGCAUAAUAAGAGCAACAGUUCUUUGCAGUCCAAGGCGGUCCAGGCACUGGGUGUUAGAUGGCUGAUCGAGGAGGAGGAGGAGGAGGAGGAGAAGGAGAAGGAGAGAGAUCCAAAUGGAGAUGAGGCAGGGACCACUGCGGCUGUCUGGAGAGAUGGAAAGAGAGGGAGAGAGCGAGGAGGAAAAGCAGAGUGAAAACACCAUAAAUGUUGCAGAUGCAGCCGGUUAUCCUGCAUAUCAAGCAUGGUCUCAGCAGCUGACUCUUCAGUUUUCUUCUCCAUCCACGAACACCGAGUGAAUAUAAAUGGAUCUGAACUUUAGCUGCCUUUCAACAUCACAUUCUGACAUAUUGCAGGACCUCCAAUGGCACCUCAUCCGCUAAAGAAACAGUGUAUAAACAAUGAAAUUAAAUCAAACUGCAAUGAAAAUAUGUGCAUGACAUAUGCAUGACAUAUGGGAGUGUUAUUAAAUAAAGCAUAUUGUCU
Molecule: long non-coding RNA, 824 nt
Filed under: Oreochromis niloticus (Nile tilapia)
Lineage: Eukaryota; Metazoa; Chordata; Actinopteri; Cichliformes; Cichlidae
Description: lncRNA (ENSONIG00000026237.2)
Source: RNAcentral